This 226-nucleotide ribosomal RNA is filed under the name uncultured bacterium. RNAcentral describes it as "partial 16S ribosomal RNA". It matches the Rfam family "Bacterial small subunit ribosomal RNA", at positions 99 to 334 of the family's 1533-position model. The record is from RNAcentral.
CGGACGGGUGAGUAACGCGUAGGAAUCUGCCUUGAAGAGGGGGAUAACCCGAGGAAACUCGGGCUAAUACCGCAUAAUCUCGCAAGAGAAAAGCUGGGGAAACCUGGCGCUUUAAGAGGAGCCUGCGUCUGAUUAGCUAGUUGGUGGGGUAAAAGCCUACCAAGGCGAUGAUCGGUAGCUGGUCUGAGAGGAUGAUCAGCCACACUGGGACUGAGACACGGCCCAG